Molecule: ribosomal RNA, 253 nt
Filed under: uncultured bacterium
Lineage: Bacteria
Description: partial 16S ribosomal RNA
Rfam family: Bacterial small subunit ribosomal RNA
Source: RNAcentral
UACGUAGGGUGCAAGCGUUGUCCGGAAUUAUUGGGCGUAAAGAGCUCGUAGGCGGUCUGUCGCGUCUGCUGUGAAAACUCAGGGCUUAACCCUGAGCUUGCAGUGGGUACGGGCAGACUAGAGUGCGGUAGGGGAGACUGGAAUUCCUGGUGUAGCGGUGAAAUGCGCAGAUAUCAGGAGGAACACCGGUGGCGAAGGCGGGUCUCUGGGCAGUAACUGACGCUGAAGAGCGAAAGCGUGGUGAGCGAACAGG